This 222-nucleotide ribosomal RNA is filed under the name uncultured bacterium. RNAcentral describes it as "partial 16S ribosomal RNA". It matches the Rfam family "Bacterial small subunit ribosomal RNA", at positions 15 to 228 of the family's 1533-position model. The record is from RNAcentral.
GAUCAUGGCUCAGGACGAACGCUGGCGGCGUGCCUAAUACAUGCAAGUAGAACGCUGAAGGAGGAGCUUGCUUCUCCGGAUGAGUUGCGAACGGGUGAGUAACGCGUAGGUAACCUGCCUGGUAGCGGGGGAUAACUAUUGGAAACGAUAGCUAAAUACCGCAUAAUAGUAGAUGUUGCAUGACAUUUGCUUAAAAGGUGCAAUUGCAUCACUACCAGAUGG